CCUACGGGUGGCAGCAGUGAGGAAUAUUGGUCAAUGGGCGCGAGCCUGACCCAGCCAAGCAGCGUGAAGGAUGACUGCCCUACGGGUUUUAAACUUCUUUUAUAAAGGAAUAAAGUGAGGCACGUGUGCCUUUUUGUAUGUACUUUAUGAAUACGGAUCGGCUAACUCCGUGCCAGUAGCCGCGGUAAUAAGGAGGGUCCGAGCGUUAUCCGGUUUUAUUGGGUUUAAAGGGAGCGUAGAUGGGUUGUUAAGUCAGUUGUGAAAGUUUUGGGCUCAACCUUAAAAUUGCAAUUGAAACUGGCAGCCUUGAGUACAGGUGAGGUAGGCGGAAUUCGUGGUGUAGCGGUGAAAUGCUUAGAUAUCACGAAGAACACCGAUUGCGAAGGCAGCUUACUAAACUGCCACUGACGUUGAUGCUCGAAAGUGUGGGUAGCAAACAGGAUUAGAUACCCGGGUAGUC
RNAcentral lists this ribosomal RNA (460 nucleotides) under uncultured bacterium. RNAcentral's name for it is "partial 16S ribosomal RNA". It matches the Rfam family "Bacterial small subunit ribosomal RNA", at positions 338 to 795 of the family's 1533-position model. The record is from RNAcentral.